RNAcentral lists this ribosomal RNA (253 nucleotides) under uncultured bacterium. Its description in RNAcentral is "partial 16S ribosomal RNA". It matches the Rfam family "Bacterial small subunit ribosomal RNA", at positions 524 to 776 of the family's 1533-position model. The record is from RNAcentral.
GACGUAGGGGGCGAGCGUUGUCCGGAAUUACUGGGCGUAAAGCGCGUGUAGGCGGGCGCUUAAGUCGGGUGUGAAAACCCUGGGCUCAACCGAGGGCAUGCACUCGAAACUGGGCGUCUUGAGGGCGGGAGAGGGAAGUGGAAUUCCUGGUGUAGCGGUGAAAUGCGUAGAUAUCAGGAGGAACACCAGUGGCGAAGGCGGCUUUCUGGCCCGUGCCUGACGCUGAGAAGCGAAAGCGUGGGGAGCAAACAGG